This 485-nucleotide ribosomal RNA is filed under the name uncultured bacterium. Its description in RNAcentral is "bacterial SSU rRNA". It matches the Rfam family "Bacterial small subunit ribosomal RNA", at positions 28 to 507 of the family's 1533-position model. The record is from RNAcentral.
GAUGAACGCUAGCGGCAGGCCUAAUACAUGCAAGUCGAGCGGCAAGUCGAGGAGUAAUCUAAGACCUAGAGCGGCGCACGGGUGCGUAACGCGUAUGCAACCUACCUUAUACUGGGGGAUAGCCCGGAGAAAUCUGGAUUAAUACCCCAUGGCACAUAUUGAUGGCAUCUGAGAUAUGUUAAAGAUUUAUUGGUAUAAGAUGGGCAUGCGUCUGAUUAGCUAGUUGGCGGUGUAACGGACCACCAAGGCGACGAUCAGUAGGGGUUCUGAGAGGAAGGUCCCCCACACUGGCACUGAGAUACGGGCCAGACUCCUACGGGAGGCAGCAGUAGGGAAUAUUGGGGCAAUGGUCGGAAGACUGACCCAGCCAUGCCGCGUGCAGGAAGACGGCCCUCUGGGUUGUAAACUGCUUUUAUCUGGGAAGAAAAAGGCCAAUGCGUGGCAAAUUGCCGGUACCAGAUGAAUAAGCACCGGCUAACUCCGUG